CCUGCCCAUAGAGGUGUUGCGUGUAUGGCUGCUGUGGCACAUGUAUGUAUCAGUAGGUGGCAGAGAGGAGAGAGGCUGUGUCUACACCCAGUGUUCUGACUUAUGAACAUUUGAAUGAUUAGUAGGCUAACAUU
Small nucleolar RNA from Mastomys coucha (southern multimammate mouse), 134 nucleotides. RefSeq annotates it as small nucleolar RNA SNORA17. The transcript has a single exon. Lineage: Eukaryota; Metazoa; Chordata; Mammalia; Rodentia; Muridae. The record is from RefSeq and is a predicted model, not a curated record.